AUGCUUGUGGUCGAUUCAGCCGGGGAUCAACAACGCCGUCGUCGCCGGUGGCAUGGAUACCAUGUCCAAUGCCCCCAAAUACGCUACAACAAUAGUUUCUUAGAUGGAAACCUCGCAGAUAUGGAUGACUAUCUGAAGGUAUGCAGGUUUCUUUCCAAACUUAACAAUGAGAUACUAGGGUUGAUCGACGUGGACUACCGUGACCUGGUCUGCGUCGUGCUCUUCAACCACACAGAGACGGACUUCACCGUGAAGCCUGGCGACCGCGUCAUAUAG
RNAcentral lists this ribosomal RNA (276 nucleotides) under Triticum aestivum (bread wheat). RNAcentral's name for it is "partial small subunit ribosomal RNA". The record is from RNAcentral. Lineage: Eukaryota; Viridiplantae; Streptophyta; Magnoliopsida; Poales; Poaceae.